AUGAGGUUGUUCAAUGGUAAACAACAUGCUAUGGAUUCUAUUUAUGGUAACUGGCAGGAAAGUUUUCAAUUGUUGUAUUCAUUCAAAAGUGAAGUGGAGAGGACAAGCCCAGGUAGUAUUGUAGAUAUUGAUCACCACACCGUGGCGUACACGUUCAGGGGAGUGACAAAGACCAAGGAAUGCUUUAGGAGGGUUUUUGUCUGUUUUGAGGCUUGUCGUCGGGGUUUUUUGGCAGGCUGCGGGCCUUAUUUGGCUAUUGAUGCCACUUUUAUCACAGGGGGGUUUAAAGGACAGUUAGUAGCAGCUUGUGCAGUUGAUGCACACAGUUUUGUAUUUCCAGUUGCCUACGGUGUGCUGGAGACAGAGUCUGAGGAGAGCUGGACUUGGUUUUUGCAUAAUCUGCGCCGGGCUAUUGCACAUCCCAAUGGGUUGGUCAUUCAUACAGAUGCCUGCAAAGGUUUAGAAGUGGUCGUGGACAAUGUGUUCCCUGGAGUAGAGCAUAGGGAAUGCAUGCGUCACCUUGCUGCAAAUUUCAUGAAGAAAUUCAAAGGAAAGGUGUAUACCGACAAUUUAUGGCCAGCAUCUUUGACUUGCAGUGUGAAGAAGCACAACUACCACUUGAGGCAGUUAUACAUGAAUCCCAAAGUGAAAGAAUACUUGGAAACACACCACUCCAAGUUAUGGGCCAGAAGCCAAUUCAGUGAAGUGAGCAAAGUUGACUAUGUGCACAAUAAUCUAGCAGAGUCUUUCAACUCAACGAUCCGGAAACUAAAG
This 774-nucleotide ribosomal RNA is filed under the name Triticum aestivum (bread wheat). Its description in RNAcentral is "partial small subunit ribosomal RNA". Lineage: Eukaryota; Viridiplantae; Streptophyta; Magnoliopsida; Poales; Poaceae. The record is from RNAcentral.